RNAcentral lists this ribosomal RNA (448 nucleotides) under uncultured bacterium. RNAcentral describes it as "partial 16S ribosomal RNA". It matches the Rfam family "Bacterial small subunit ribosomal RNA", at positions 330 to 794 of the family's 1533-position model. The record is from RNAcentral.
UCCAGACUCCUACGGGAGGCAGCAGUGGGGAAUAUUGCACAAUGGGGGGAACCCUGAUGCAGCGACGCCGCGUGGGUGAAGGAGCGUUUCGGCGCGUAAAGCCCUAUCGGCAGGGAAGAAGGAGGACGGUACCUGACUAAGAAGCCCCGGCUAACUACGUGCCAGCAGCCGCGGUAAUACGUAGGGGGCAAGCGUUAUCCGGAUUUACUGGGUGUAAAGGGGGCGCAGACGGCAGCGCAAGCCAGGAGUGAAAGCCCGGGGCCCAACCCCGGGACUGCUCUUGGAACUGCGCGGCUGGAGUGCAGGAGGGGCAGGCGGAAUUCCUGGUGUAGCGGUGAAAUGCGUAGAUAUCAGGAGGAACACCGGUGGCGAAGGCGGCCUGCUGGACUGCGACUGACGUUGAGGCCCGAAAGCGUGGGGAGCAAACAGGAUUAGAUACCCUCGUAGC